Molecule: ribosomal RNA, 253 nt
Filed under: uncultured bacterium
Lineage: Bacteria
Description: partial 16S ribosomal RNA
Rfam family: Bacterial small subunit ribosomal RNA
Source: RNAcentral
UACGGAGGGUGCAAACGUUGCUCGGAAUUAUUGGGCGUAAAGCGCACGUAGGCGGUCCAGCAAGUCGGGUGUGAAAGCCCUCGGCUUAACCGAGGAAGUGCAUUCGAAACUACUGGACUUGAAUACCGGAGAGGAUCGCGGAAUUCCCGGUGUAGAGGUGAAAUUCGUAGAUAUCGGGAGGAACACCAGUGGCGAAGGCGGCGAUCUGGACGGAUAUUGACGCUGAGGUGCGAAAGCGUGGGGAGCAAACAGG